CCUACGGGUUGCAGCAGUGGGGAAUCUUGCGCAAUGGGCGAAAGCCUGACGCAGCAACGCCGCGUGUGUGAAGAAGGCUUUCGGGUCGUAAAGCACUGUCGGGAGGGAAGAGUGCCUGGGCUAGACCCAGGAGAGACGGUACCUCCCAAGGAAGCACCGGCUAACUCCGUGCCAGCAGCCGCGGUAAUACGGAGGGUGCAAGCGUUAUUCGGAAUCAUUGGGCGUAAAGCGCGCGCAGGCGGCCAAACAAGUCUGACGUGAAAUCCCGGGGCUCAACCUCGGAACUGCGUUGGAAACUGUAUGGCUUGAGUUUGGGAGAGGUUCGUGGAAUUCCAGGUGUAGGGGUGAAAUCCGUAGAGAUCUGGAGGAACACCAGUGGCGAAGGCGACGAACUGGACCAAUACUGACGCUGAGGCGCGAAAGCGUGGGGAGCGAACAGGAUUAGAUACCCUCGUAGUC
This 459-nucleotide ribosomal RNA is filed under the name uncultured bacterium. RNAcentral describes it as "bacterial SSU rRNA". It matches the Rfam family "Bacterial small subunit ribosomal RNA", at positions 338 to 795 of the family's 1533-position model. The record is from RNAcentral.